GAUGAACGCUGGCGGCGUGCCUAAUACAUGCAAGUCGAGCGAACGGACGAGAAGCUUGCUUCUCUGAUGUUAGCGGCGGACGGGUGAGUAACACGUGGAUAACCUACCUAUAAGACUGGGAUAACUUCGGGAAACCGGAGCUAAUACCGGAUAAUAUUUUGAACCGCAUGGUUCAAAAGUGAAAGACGGUCUUGCUGUCACUUAUAGAUGGAUCCGCGCUGCAUUAGCUAGUUGGUAAGGUAACGGCUUACCAAGGCAACGAUGCAUAGCCGACCUGAGAGGGUGAUCGGCCACCCUGGAACUGAGACACGGUCCAGACUCCUACGGGAGGCCGCAGUAGGGAAUCUUUCGCAAUGGGCGAAAGCCUGACGGAGCAACGCCGCGUGAGUGAUGAAGGUCUUCGGAUCGUAAAACUCUGUUAUUAGGGAAGAACAUAUGUGUAAGUAACUGUGCACAUCUUGACGGUACCUAAUCAGAAAGCCACGGCUAACUACGUG
RNAcentral lists this ribosomal RNA (497 nucleotides) under uncultured bacterium. Its description in RNAcentral is "partial 16S ribosomal RNA". It matches the Rfam family "Bacterial small subunit ribosomal RNA", at positions 28 to 507 of the family's 1533-position model. The record is from RNAcentral.